CACAUGACUCUCGGCAACGGAUAUCUCGGCUCUCGCAUCGAUGAAGAACGUAGCAAAAUGCGAUACCUGGUGUGAAUUGCAGAAUCCCGCGAACCAUCGAGUUUUUGAACGCAAGUUGCGCCCGAGGCCUUCUGGUUGAGGGCACGUCUGCCUGGGCGUCACGCC
This 165-nucleotide ribosomal RNA is filed under the name Panicum virgatum (switchgrass). RNAcentral describes it as "5.8S ribosomal RNA". It matches the Rfam family "5.8S ribosomal RNA". From Rfam's summary of the family: 5.8S ribosomal RNA (5.8S rRNA) is a component of the large subunit of the eukaryotic ribosome. It is transcribed by RNA polymerase I as part of the 45S precursor that also contains 18S and 28S rRNA. The record is from RNAcentral. Lineage: Eukaryota; Viridiplantae; Streptophyta; Magnoliopsida; Poales; Poaceae.